Molecule: ribosomal RNA, 516 nt
Filed under: Pseudomonas sp. Hugh197
Lineage: Bacteria; Pseudomonadati; Pseudomonadota; Gammaproteobacteria; Pseudomonadales; Pseudomonadaceae
Description: bacterial SSU rRNA
Rfam family: Bacterial small subunit ribosomal RNA
Source: RNAcentral
AGAGUUUGAUCCUGGCUCAGAUUGAACGCUGGCGGCAGGCUAACACAUGCAAGUCGAGCGGAUGACGGGAGCUUGCUCCUUGAUUCAGCGGCGGACGGGUGAGUAAUGCCUAGGAAUCUGCCUGGUAGUGGGGGACAACGUUUCGAAAGGAACGCUAAUACCGCAUACGUCCUACGGGAGAAAGCAGGGGACCUUCGGGCCUUGCGCUAUCAGAUGAGCCUAGGUCGGAUUAGCUAGUUGGUGGGGUAAUGGCUCACCAAGGCGACGAUCCGUAACUGGUCUGAGAGGAUGAUCAGUCACACUGGAACUGAGACACGGUCCAGACUCCUACGGGAGGCAGCAGUGGGGAAUAUUGGACAAUGGGCGAAAGCCUGAUCCAGCCAUGCCGCGUGUGUGAAGAAGGUCUUCGGAUUGUAAAGCACUUUAAGUUGGGAGGAAGGGCAGUAAGCUAAUACCUGCUGUUUUGACGUUACCGACAGAAUAAGCACCGGCUAACUCUGUGCCAGCAGCCGCGGU